UAAGGGCGCACGGUGGAUGCCUUGGCACUAGAAGCCGAUGAAGGACGUUACUAACGACGAUAUGCUUUGGGGAGCUGUAAGUAAGCUUUGAUCCAGAGAUUUCCGAAUGGGGAAACCCAGCAUGAGUUAUGUCAUGUUAUCGAUAUGUGAAUACAUAGCAUAUCAGAAGGCACACCCGGAGAACUGAAACAUCUUAGUACCCGGAGGAAGAGAAAGAAAAUUCGAUUCCCUUAGUAGCGGCGAGCGAAACGGGAAGAGCCCAAACCAACAAGCUUGCUUGUUGGGGUUGUAGGACACUCUAUACGGAGUUACAAAGGACGACAUUAGACGAAUCAUCUGGAAAGAUGAAUCAAAGAAGGUAAUAAUCCUGUAGUCGAAAAUGUUGUCUCUCUUGAGUGGAUCCUGAGUACGACGGAGCACGUGAAAUUCCGUCGGAAUCUGGGAGGACCAUCUCCUAAGGCUAAAUACUCUCUAGUGACCGAUAGUGAACCAGUACCGUGAGGGAAAGGUGAAAAGCACCCCGGAAGGGGAGUGAAAUAGAACCUGAAACCGUGUGCUUACAAGUAGUCAGAGCCCGUUAAUGGGUGAUGGCGUGCCUUUUGUAGAAUGAACCGGCGAGUUACGAUUUGAUGCAAGGUUAAGCAGUAAAUGUGGAGCCGUAGCGAAAGCGAGUCUGAAUAGGGCGUUUAGUAUUUGGUCGUAGACCCGAAACCAGGUGAUCUACCCUUGGUCAGGUUGAAGUUCAGGUAACACUGAAUGGAGGACCGAACCGACUUACGUUGAAAAGUGAGCGGAUGAACUGAGGGUAGCGGAGAAAUUCCAAUCGAACCUGGAGAUAGCUGGUUCUCUCCGAAAUAGCUUUAGGGCUAGCCUCAAGUGAUGAUUAUUGGAGGUAGAGCACUGUUUGGACGAGGGGCCCCUCUCGGGUUACCGAAUUCAGACAAACUCCGAAUGCCAAUUAAUUUAACUUGGGAGUCAGAACAUGGGUGAUAAGGUCCGUGUUCGAAAGGGAAACAGCCCAGACCACCAGCUAAGGUCCCAAAAUAUAUGUUAAGUGGAAAAGGAUGUGGCGUUGCCCAGACAACUAGGAUGUUGGCUUAGAAGCAGCCAUCAUUUAAAGAGUGCGUAAUAGCUCACUAGUCGAGUGACACUGCGCCGAAAAUGUACCGGGGCUAAACAUAUUACCGAAGCUGUGGAUUGUCCUUUGGACAAUGGUAGGA
This 1220-nucleotide ribosomal RNA is filed under the name Staphylococcus aureus. RNAcentral's name for it is "partial 23S ribosomal RNA". It matches the Rfam family "Bacterial large subunit ribosomal RNA", at positions 12 to 1233 of the family's 2925-position model. Lineage: Bacteria; Bacillati; Bacillota; Bacilli; Caryophanales; Staphylococcaceae. The record is from RNAcentral.